AGGACGAACGCUUGCGGCGUGCCUAAGAAAUGCAAGUCGAGCGGACAGUAGUAAUACUGUUAGCGGCGAACGGUCGCGUAACACGUAGGCAACCUGCCCCAAAGCCCGGGACAACAGGGGGAAACCUCUGCUAAUACCGGAUGUGGUCAUGUCCUCACCUGGGGAGAUGAGUAAACCGUCUUCGGGCGGCUUUGGGAGGGGCCUGCGGCCUAUCAGCUAGAUGGUGGGGUAACGCCUACCAUGGCGACGACGGGUAGCUGGUCUGAGAGGAUGGUCAGCCGGACUGGGGACUGAGACACGGCCCAGACUCCUACGGGGGGCAGCAACUAGGAAUCUUGUACGAUGGGCGAAAGCCUGAUACAGCGACGCCGCGUGAGGGAGGACGGGCCUUCGGUUGUAAACCUCUUUUAACGAGGAAGAAACAAAUGACGGUACUCGUUGAAUAAGCCCCGGACUAACUCCGCGCCAGCAGCCGC
This 476-nucleotide ribosomal RNA is filed under the name uncultured soil bacterium. RNAcentral's name for it is "bacterial SSU rRNA". It matches the Rfam family "Bacterial small subunit ribosomal RNA", at positions 26 to 518 of the family's 1533-position model. The record is from RNAcentral.